CCCUUAGAUGUUCUGGGCCGCACGCGCGCUACACUGAUGCAUUCAACGAGUCCAACCUUGACCGAGAGGUCCGGGUAAUCUUUGAAACUGCAUCGUGAUGGGGCUAGAUUAUUGCAAUUAUUAAUCUUCAACGAGGAAUGCCUAGUAAGCGUGAUUCAUCAAAUCGCGUUGAUUACGUCCCUGCCCUUUGUACACACCGCCCGUCGCUCCUACCGAUUGAGUGUGUUGGUGAAAUGUUCGGAUCGGCCGUUUGUCGCGGUUUCCGCGUCAUGUGGCUGAGAAGUUCAUUAAACCCUCCCACCUAGAGGAAGGAGAAGUCGUAACA
This 325-nucleotide ribosomal RNA is filed under the name uncultured eukaryote. RNAcentral's name for it is "partial 18S ribosomal RNA". It matches the Rfam family "Eukaryotic small subunit ribosomal RNA", at positions 1470 to 1796 of the family's 1831-position model. The record is from RNAcentral.